AAAGAUGGGCAUGCGUAUCAUUAGCUAGUUGGUGUGGUAACGGCAUACCAAGGCUACGAUGAUUAGGGGUCCUGAGAGGGAGAUCCCCCACACUGGUACUGAGACACGGACCAGACUCCUACGGGAGGCAGCAGUGAGGAAUAUUGGUCAAUGGAGGCAACUCUGAACCAGCCAUGCCGCGUGCAGGAUGACGGUCCUAUGGAUUGUAAACUGCUUUUGUACGGGAAGAAAUGUAAUUACGUGUAAUUAUUUGACGGUACCGUAAGAAUAAGGAUCGGCUAACUCCGUGCCAGCAGCCGCGGUAAUACGGAGGAUCCGAGCGUUAUCCGGAAUUAUUGGGUUUAAAGGGUUCGUAGGCGGUUGAGUAAGUCAGUGGUGAAAUCUUAUAGCUUAACUAUAAAAUUGCCGUUGAUACUGCUUGACUUGAAUAGUAUGGAAGUAAUUAGAAUAUGUAGUGUAGCGGUGAAAUGCUUAGAUAUUACAUGGAAUACCAAUUGCGAAGGCAGAUUACUACGUACUUAUUGACGCUGAUGAACGAAAGCGUGGGUAGCGAACAGGAUUAGAUACCCUGGUAGUCCACGCCGUAAACGAUGGAUACUAGCUGUUCGGUUUUCGGACUGAGUGGCU
RNAcentral lists this ribosomal RNA (627 nucleotides) under Myroides odoratus. RNAcentral describes it as "bacterial SSU rRNA". It matches the Rfam family "Bacterial small subunit ribosomal RNA", at positions 221 to 848 of the family's 1533-position model. Lineage: Bacteria; Pseudomonadati; Bacteroidota; Flavobacteriia; Flavobacteriales; Flavobacteriaceae. The record is from RNAcentral.